AUUCAGAUUUUUCUUCUUUUUUUUCGAUAAUAAUAGAAAAGUUUGUAGAAUUAAGAGGACAGAACAUCAAGACAAAGAAGUUCAGAAAUACCAGUAGGAGCAUCUUCAAUCCAGAUCCUUUUGAGUAUCCUCUUGUUGAAUAUAUAUAUAUAUAUACUGUUUAAUUUGAUAGUGACAUUUUUUUAUUGUGAAAAUAUAAAUAAAUAAAUAUUGAGUACUGACUCCAUUUUAUUAGAGUUUCAAUGGGAACAUUAUUUGGAAAAUAAAUAUAAGUGAAAGGUACAUAAGUAAACAUAAACACUCAUUCAUCCUCUCGCUUAUCUAAUGAAUUGUUUUAAAAAAGGUUGAUUUAUGUCAUUACGUAAUCACUAUGAUAUUGACCAUAAUUUUGGUAUAUAAUUACAAAAUUAAAUUCCUCAACCUAACUAUUUUAAAAUAACAUGCAAGUUUGGAAAGCACAACCUUCUCAUUUCUCAGUGUUAUUUGCUUUCUCUAAUCACAUCUAUGUUCUGCAAUCCACGUAUGGCCAGAUCUACAUUUGAGUUUCACCAUCUUCAAUUGUGCUGAGGUUCUUCCAGUUCCAGAAGAUGGCAAAAUCUGUUGUGGCGUUGUCAAUGCAGUUGGGAAGGCUAUAACAUUAUUGAAAUGGCUUUUUUGUUGUCAGUGCAGUUGAAUUGUAGGGGAAUUGCUUCAACAGCUUGAUAAGUCCGUAAGUCCUUGUGUCUCUACCAAAAUAGAGGCAAAGAUCAAGUGGGGUUAAACCAUCCUGGUUUUUUAAUGUCCUGUCUGCUCCUUUAAUUAAUAAUAGCUUUACUAUGUCAGUUCUUUGGGCCUGAACGGCAACAUGUAAUGGUGUCCAUCCAUCAUUGUCCUGAAGGUUUAUAUCCACAUUAUACAAUAGAAGAAGUUUAAUAGCAGGACUAGAUGCCGUUUGGACAGCAUAAUGCAUCAAGGUAGCUCCAUCCUGUUGUCAGUGAGGAAAGAAAGGUAAAAUCAACAUUUCAAAGAAUUUGCAAGUAAACUCUAAGCGAUAUACUCUAAAUAUCAGGACACAAAAGUUCACACCGAAAUUGUUUUCAGGCAUCAACAGCAUUGCUAAAAUGCAGCAGAGGACACCGCAAUGCGACUACUCUCAAUAAGUUAGCCAUAAAUAAAUAAAUAAUAUUAAAGAAAAGAGGUAUUACCUGAACCCAUAGAAUUAUCCACAGUGAAGACAAAAAGGAAAUUGACCAUGUGCCCCAGUUUAAUGACAGACAAACAUUAAAAGAAGAUAACAUAUAGCUAGAUCCACAAGAUGACAAUAACUAAUAAAGCAACAUUUGUUUCAGUUGCGGAUUUGAUAAAAAAGCAUGGUUGAAAACUGAAAAAAAUAAGAGAGAGAACACGUAUCACGUUACCAAAUUUGAAGUUAGUCACCUAGUUUGCAGAUAAGUUGAUAACGAAUCAUAAAAAUAAGUUCAACAUUUUCAGAUCAGAACAUAUUCACUGGUAGUAAAUAGACUUAAAAUUUAGAAAUAAUUAAAAAGCCUGUACUCACUGAAUCUCGAACAAAAGGAUUUGCCGAUUCUCUCAAAAGAUAGCUGGUAAUAGCUUGCUUUUUACAAAUUAUUGCUUUGUGAAGUGCAGUCAAACCAUCCACAUUCACAGCAUUGAUAUCAACAUUAUGUUUCAGCAAAGCAUCCAUAAGGUACAAUUCUCCUGAUGCAGCAAGUGUGUGCAGAGGUAGCCAUUUGGUAGAGGUAGCAGCAGCAAGAUCAGGUAUCUUCUUAUUGAGCAAAACCUUUUCCUCUUUUGUAAACAACUUGCGAGGGGCUCCAGAUUUCUUAGCACCAGGCUCAUAGUUCCCGCUGUUAAAGAACUCUGUAACAUCAUCAAAACCUUUCCCAUAAACAGCCCAUCUCGGAUUCUUUGGUGCCACUCGCUCACUAUUAAUCUCACUCAUUCCCACCUUCUCCUCCUCUUCCUCCUCUUCCUCCUCCUUCUCAGAGAUAUUGGUAGGAUUAUCAAGAACAAGUGGCUUCAAUUGCGCCAACUUAGCCUCUCUGUACGCUUUAUACUCCUCCAAAUUGGCACUCCUUAUAGGAACCAAUCCCUUUUUCUUCUUUUCAACUCGACUAUUGAACUCCAUUUCUUGAGCAAUCUUGCGCCUUUCUUUCUUCGUAAUGUUAAUCUCAGCUUGCACUUCUCUCCAUUUAUCAGGAACCAAGUUCUCUGUCUGGAUAUCCGUUACAUUUUUCUUCUUGUUCUUGGGCUUGAGCUUUCUCCUGGAAUUGUCUGAAUCUGAACCAGAAUCACCAUCACGAAAAGCAUCAAGGUUAGUCUCCAGAUAUGGGUCCUCGAAAACGCCCUCUUCAAAGACGAGGCAGUCGCCAAUGACAUGGUCUUCAGGGUCAUCGUUUUGCAGAGGGAAAGAUGAUUGAAGAGAAGGUGAAAGAGAGAAGAAUUUUCUUGGGUAUUUGAGGGUGGAGAUUGAUGGGAGCUUGAGAGCUGUAGAGAGACAGAGAGGGUACAACAGUUUGGGGGUUUGUGGGUUUAGAAGAGAAGGAAGAGGCAUUCUCACUCAGGUAUGGCUUUACAGGUUUCAA
This 2585-nucleotide unclassified non-coding RNA is filed under the name Hevea brasiliensis (rubber tree). The record is from RNAcentral. Lineage: Eukaryota; Viridiplantae; Streptophyta; Magnoliopsida; Malpighiales; Euphorbiaceae.